RNAcentral lists this small RNA (127 nucleotides) under Marmota monax (woodchuck). Lineage: Eukaryota; Metazoa; Chordata; Mammalia; Rodentia; Sciuridae. The record is from RNAcentral.
GCAGGGUGUGAUGGCACAUGCCAGUAAUCCCAGUGGCUCUGGAGGCUGAGGCAGGGGGAUUGUGAGUUUAAGGCCAGCCUCAGCAACUUAGUGAGGCCCUAAGCAACUUAGCAAGACCCUGUCUCAA